This 69-nucleotide transfer RNA is filed under the name Maurolicus muelleri (pearlsides). RNAcentral's name for it is "tRNA-Phe". The record is from RNAcentral. Lineage: Eukaryota; Metazoa; Chordata; Actinopteri; Stomiiformes; Sternoptychidae.
GUCCACGUAGCUUAGCACAAAGCAUAACACUGAAGAUGUUAAGACGGACCCUAAAAAGCCCCACCAACA